CCCCUAGAUGUCCUGGGCCGCACGCGUGCUACACUGACGCCUACAGCGAGUACUUCCCAGCCCCGAGAGGUGGCUGGUAAUCAGCAAUAGGCGUCGUGAUGGGGAUAGAUCUUUGGAAUUAUGGAUCUUGAACGAGGAAUGCCUAGUAAGCGCAGGUCAUUAGCCUGCGCUGAUUAAGUCCCUGCCCUUUGUACACACCGCCCGUCGCUCCUACCGAUUUCGAGUGGUCCGGUGAAUCUUUCGGACUGCGCGCGGCCUCGUGCCGUGUCGCGGAAAGUCAGGUAAACCUUAUCACUUAGAGGAAGGAGAAGUCGUAACA
Molecule: ribosomal RNA, 319 nt
Filed under: uncultured eukaryote
Lineage: Eukaryota
Description: partial 18S ribosomal RNA
Rfam family: Eukaryotic small subunit ribosomal RNA
Source: RNAcentral